CAUUUAUUGAAUAAGGAGUCCUUUCUCCAUUGUUUAUUUUUGUCAACUUUGUUGAUCAGAUGGCUGUAAGUGUGAGGCUUUAUCUCUGGUCAAUGACAGUGUCUUAUCCUUCAUUUUUUCCUUAGGCUAGAACAUAGUAGCUGGCACAGAGUAGGUUCUUGUUAAAUACUUUUUGAUUGAAUAGAUGACUAAAGAGUCUCCCCUUUCGUUUAUAUGCAGAAGUGUAUGUGUGUGUUAUGUUAUUAUAUGUGCAAAUAUGUAUACGUACUUGUAAAUAUAUUAUGAUUGGAUAUCCACACAACUUUGUGUGUCUGUGUGUGUGUGUCUAAGUAUACAUGUGUAUGCAUAUGUUCACUCUCCUUCUCCUGAGUGGGUGACACAAACUAUUAGGUGGCAUUUGUGGAGAUGCUGCAUGCAAUGUUUGUGGUGAAAGUGGAGAAGGGAAAUAAAGGAUAAUUGCCACUUUAGUGGCCAAACCAUGGAAUAUGUGGUCCAAGCAGCUUUCAUUCAGAAACUCUUGCUAUGGAAGGUGACUGCUAUGGAGGUGGGGGGUCCAGAAUUAUUUGUAUCUAUGUGAACACCACACUGCUCUUGGGUUCAGGGUGUUGGGAGGACAGGGUGGAAUGAGUUUUGACACAAAUGGACAGCCUUGGUGGACAAUGGUUCCCAUAGACCUGAUCUCUUCAAAUCCAAUUAAAAUUUGUGUGCCCAGUUUUCACUUUUCAUUUUCUCUUUAAUCCUUUGAGGCCAGUUCCUGCUGCACACAGGGGUCUCUUUCUAACCCGUUAAGUCUCUGCCUUCUAUUUCUGUGGGGUUUUUCCUCUCAUUCUCUGGCAUGUGUGGGCAAACAGAAACUUAACUGCUGGCACUCUCUCUUUCAGCUUGAUUCAUGGGAUGCUGUCUGGGGUCCACCUUUAUUGGCAAAGGAGUUUCAUGACCAUGAUGUUAUGUCUGCUCAGUUGGAAGACCCCAACAUGAAUCAAGACAUCAGAGGAAAUGAGUGCUGAUCCUCCAAGAAGACAAGCUCAUGAAGUCAUCAUCAGUGACGGCAAAGGAAAUUAAGGAAAACCAAGGUCAGAGUUCUAAGAGUACAAUCAGUGUUUGUUUAUUCAUUCAUCAUUCAUUCAAUAAAUGUUCACUGGGUCCUACACUGAGAAUUAGCCAUAGUUCCUUCCCUUAAGAAAUUUGCAGUCUAACCAUCAAGAUUGACCUAUGGACAAAAAGAAAGACAAAAGUAAGCCUAGGAUGCUAUGAAAAACCCAGAUAAGAUGAAUCUAAAAUACAGGAAGAUCAGAGAGGAAGCAAAUUGCACUGAUAAAGUGCAUGGGCUUACAGUGAGAUAAACUUGAUUUUAAAUCUCCUCUCUACCACUUAACUACAUAAGCCACUUACUAAUCGAGCAUCCAUUUCUUCAGUUGGACAUUGGACAUAAUACCUAUGCAGAAUGGUGGUGAUGAUUAAAUAAAGUGAACUUUCUAGCAUAGAAAUUAACUCACUGCAAGUAUUAAAAUGGAAGAUAUUUUAUUAUAUAUUUUAUAUAGAUGGUGCUUAAUGUUAAAUUUUGAAGCAACAAGUAGAAAUUGACUAGAUGAAGGAAAUGAAGCAUGGUGUUCUAGACAAAGAACACAACAUCGUCCAAAGGUCAUGUUAUGCAGUUUGAUGUGGUUGAGGUAAAGGGCUCAUGUGCACAAGUGGUAGAAGCUGAAGUCAGAGUAAAUAGAGGACAAAUCAUGCAGGAUAUCUACCUAAGAAGUCUGAAUUAUUUUCUGAAAUCUAUAUUUAGAUAUUUUAAAAAGAGAAUAACAUGUUUAGAUUUGCAUUUUUUAAAAGUUACUUUGAAGCAACUUGGCAAACUUACCAAGAACCUUUGAUCUAAUAAUUUUACGUCUAGGAAUUUAUAAGGAAAUAAUCAGAGAUUAAGAAAAAAAUUAUGUACAAGAAUUGAAACAUUUUAUAAUAAUGAAAUUGUAAACAAUCUAAAUGUUAAAUAAUUGGGAAAUGAUCAAAUGAAUUAUGACAUAGUCAAUUGAUGUAAUAUUUUAAAGAUUUCAAAUGUAUUCAACAACAUUUAAGGGUAUAGAAAAGCAUGCAUAAUAAAAUGUCAACAAAAAUUUCAAAGCUCAAUACAAUGACCCAGUUUGAGUUUAAAAGAGAGAAAGAAAGAAAAAGAAAUAUCUAUAUGUACAGCCAAACUAUUAGCAGUAGCAGUAUAAAAAAUAUUUUAAACCUGUAGUUACUUCUGUAUAGUGAGAUUAUUGGUGAUUUCUAUUUUUUUUUCAAAAUUUUCUGCAUUUUCCAUAUAAGAAUUAAUGUGUAGCUUUUACAAAUUAAUAAAAUAUUUUUUAAAGUGAUCACCCUGGUAGGUAUUAUACGGAAUAGUUGAAAAAUGGUUUACAUAGGAGAGACAGAAAGAAAUGAACAAUUAGAUGACUAUCAUAAUAAUUCAGGGGAGAAGUGAUGAGAUUUUUAGCCAAGGCAUACCCAGAAGGUAGGGAGAACCAGAUAUGGAUUCUAGAAAUAUGAAGAGUUAGAACUGAGAAGACUAUUGGAUACAGGUGGAAAAAGAACAAAUCAAACAUAUUGCUCAUGUUUCUGUCUUGUUUCUCUCCUAGACUUGGUGGAGUUUGUACUGAUCUCAGAGACAGAGGGAAAACAGGGAAAGGGUAAUUUGGAGGAGAAAGUGGUAGAGAUCAUUACUGUUUUGGAUAUGUUGAACUUGAGGUGUUUGUGGGAUCUUAAGGUGGACAAAUCUGGUAAAGAGUUGGAUAAAUAGGUCUGAAGUUCAUUAUUCAUGUAUUCAUUCAAAUAUAUUUACUGAGCAACUACUAUGUGCCAGACAAAUACAAAUUCAGAGUUGUGUUUGGACACAGAGCAAUGUACAAAAGAGAAUAAUGCUUGCAUUCCAGUUUGGAGCUGGAACUUCCAGCUCACAAUAGACAUCUGGGAUUGGAGAUAGGCUUUUAGGAGUCAAAAACUCAGAGAUGGUAGGGGGAGAUAAGCCUUGAGAGGUGGAUGAAACAGAUGGCCCAGUGUGGGGGGCUGUAAAAUGAGAAGAGUGGCUUUAGUUUGGAUCAAGUUCAGACAGGCUAUUUCUUUUCUAUAGCUCAGAGGAUUGAACUGCUUUGUUAAAUAUCUGCUAACCCCUUAACUAUGAUAACUACUUUCUGAUUAUACUCAAUUCCCUUCUGUGAGAGGUGAACAAAUCACUAUCUGUCUCCUAGACUUGGUUGCCACACCUCUAAACUAAGAAAACGAUAAAUUUUACCUGCUUCAAUAUGAUCUUCCUGCCACAGGGCCUCUGCACACUCUGUGUCUUCUGCCUAGCAUGCUCUUCCCUGUGACCUUCCCCUCCUUCAUUCCUUCUUGUCAUUCAUAUCUCUGCUCAAUGAACACUUCUGCGGAGAAGACUUUCCUGAUCUUCCCUGUAUAAAGCAGGAUGAACCCAAGCCCCUAUGACUCUAGCACCCUAUUCUAAUCAUUUCUCUUUCUGAUAUUUCUCUUAUUAUUUUUACUUAUUAUUGGUUCUUCUAACCCCCAACUAGAAUGUGUGAUAAGAGUAUGGAUCAAGCUUGUUUUGUUCUUUGUUUUAGUUCUGACUCCUGGAACAGGGCCUGACACAUAGUAGCAAGAAAUAGUUUUGGGAUUAUUUUAAAUUUGAAUUUUGAAUUAUUUGAAGAAUUUUAAACAAAUAAGACCAGCUUUAGGAGUAAACAUUAAAAAACAAUUAUUGAGCAUUUCUAGGUGCCAAGCACCUUGUUAAAGACUGAUGAUAUAGAACAAAGUCACAGUUGUUUCUUAUUUGCAAAGAGCUUUACAUCUCAUGAGAGAUACAGACACGUAUGCAGCCCUUAUAAGGGAGCCCUUAUGAGGGAGUGAGUUGGUACAGGGAAGGAUCUCAAGAUGUGUUUGUAUUCAUGGAGUCUGGAACUAGAUAGUCUCAGGUUCUAAAUUGGAACACUGGGAUUUGGGAUUCAGGUGCAAACUUGAUAUUCUGACCCACAGGCUCGAGUGAUGAAUCAAAAGAUGGGACAGGAGAGUGAGUCUCCUUUUAAAUCUUUGCUAGAUUUUGAGCUUUUUAUCUUUCUGGUUCACAUUGUCCAUCCAGAGCUGUAUAUACACAAACAUAGUAGGUACUCAGUAAAUAUUUGUUGAAUAAACAAAAACCUCAUUUCAGAGUGAAAUAAAAUUCAGACUUGGUGUAUACAUGUAAUGGAGUAUCAUUCAGCCACAAAAAGGAUAUACAUUUUGACACAUGUCACUCCAUGGAUGAACUUUGACGACAUUAUGUUUAGUAAAGUAAGCCAGUCACCAAAAAGACAAAUACUAUAUGAUUUUCCUUAUAUGAGAUAUCCAGAACAGUCAAACUCGUAUAAACAGAAAGUAGAAUGGUUGCUGCCAAGGGCUGGGGAAAAGAGGGAAUGGAAAGUUGUCAUUUAAUGGGAUUAGGGUUUGAAUUUUGCAAGAUAAAAAAUCCCAGAGAUUGGUUGCACAACAGUGUGACUAUUACUUAGCUUAACACUACCCAACUGUACACUUAAAAAUGGUUAAGACGGUAAAUUUUUACGUUGUGGGUAUUUUACUAAGCUUAAUAAUAAUAAUAAUAAUAAUAAUAAUAAUAAUAAUAAAAUUCAGAGUGUGUGGCUGAUUAUUUAGCUGCACCUGGAUCUUAUAUGUAAAUUUAUAUUGAGCAGUUUUAGAUACAACUUACAAAUGUGUGUUAGAGUACACAAUAUUUCUUUUUUAUUUUCUUUUUCCCCUGCAGAGCAGAGUCUUGCUCUGUCACCCAGGAAGGAAUGCAGUGGCGCAAUCUCGGCUCACUGCAACCUUCGCCUCCCGGGUUCAAGCUAUUCUCCUGCCUCAGCCUCCCGAGUAGCUGGGAUUACAGGUGCCUGCCACCACGCCCAGAUGAUUUUUGUAUUUUUAGUAGAGAUGGGGUUUCACCAUGUUGGCCAGGCUAGCCUCGAACUCCUGACCUCAUGAUCCGCCCUUCUUGGCCUCCCACAGUGCUGGGAUUACAGGUGUGAGUCACCGCGCCCGGCCAGAGUACACAAUUUUUCAAAAUUCUCUUCUGCAGGCAGGUGAACCAUACAAGUUUGAAGCCCCUUAACACAGACAAUUCUUGAAGAGCUGGCCUGUAAAUGGAAGCUGAGAAAUGGGUUAAGUAGCUGGAGGAAGAUAGGGAGCCAAAAGAGACUCUUGUUUUUGGUUUGCUUUUGUUUUUAAGAUGGUGGAAAUGGUAGUGUCUGUGAGCUGAGGCCAAUGAUCCAGACAGAGGAAAAGUGAUGGUGCAGAAGAGAAGAGCUCUGGGAGGGUUUUCAGAGCUGUGAAGGGCUUGGGCGUCGAAUGCAGGUGGAGGUUCGGCCUAUGGCAGGGCAAGACAGCUUUCAUGCGAAAUCACAGGUCGGAGGGCAGAACAGGAUGGCCACCAGGCAAGCCACGCUACAAAUCAGGUGGGUGCCUGGGGAAAGCUUGCAGAAGUUCUGGCCUGAUUGCGUCUAUUUCCUCAAUAAAACAGCAACAAAGUUAGCAGCAGUGAGGAAGGAUGGGGGAGCAGAGGGGGGAGCUGAGAAAAGAGAAAAUGUAAAGUAUUUGUUUAGAAGAGUGGAAGAGAAUCCACUGGGAAAAUGUAGUAGGGAUGUAAGUCAGCAUUAACCACCCAUUUGGGGUUAGUGUCAAGAAUUUAUUGGGAAUAGUCAGCAAGGUGGUGUGCCUUGCCCGGCAGACGCAGGUGAGGGUGGACAAGAGUUGAAUUUAACCUGCUUGGGGUUUGGCAGGUGCGUACACCUAUGGGUUCGAGUGGCAAGGGAGUUUAGACCGAAUAAUUAAAAUGACGGAGCAUGGACUUUAUGCUGAGGAAGCAGAGAAACCGAUGGCAUAGGGAUGGGUGGGGGGCAGUGAAAAGGCGGGUAGGAUCAACGGAUUGUUGUGUCCCUAUGGGCUGUCGAAUGCUGCGGCUGGAGUGUUGACUUUUAUUUUGUAGAUUUCAGCAUAUAUACAUAUACGCUGAAAUUAUAUAUUACAUGCUAUAUAUGUUAUUAUAUGUUAUAUAUUAUCUGCAUAUAUACACACACAUAUUCCCAGAGGAAGUUAAACUUAACCUGGUCUCAUAUAUACUACACAUAUAAAAUAUGUAUAUACACAUAUGUAUGUAUACACACAUAGACAUGUAUACACACAUAUAUACAUAUGUAUAUAUAAAAAUAUAUACAGAUAUUUUAAAUUUCAUAUAUAUUUCCCGUCCCCUCCAAGAGCCCUUUCUGACCCCUGACCCCCUUCUUUAGCAGAACCCAAAUGGUUUCCGUGGGUGGAACAUCUCCCUGCGUUUCUGAGGACAUCAGCGCACGUGGUUUCUUUCCCGGCCGCCGCAGCCCACUUGGUCGGUUUCCUCCUAGUUUUGGCCUGGUGCCCUCCCCGCGGGGCUCUGCCGGGUCUGCGGGUCGGGGCCGUCCGUCCUUUCACCCUGGAGGAGAGAAAGCAGAGAUGGGAAGCUUGCGCGCUCGGGCGGGGCCAGUCCACCGAGCCCGACGAGGCUCGGACGGCCCCGGAGGUGGGCGCGCCUCGGCCGUUCCUCCGCGGCGGGGGCUGCUCCGGACGCCCCACGUCUCGGGCCUGGGAUUCAGCCUGUGAGGUGGGGGCGGCCGGGGCGGCGGCUGCCGGGAGGGGCUCAUUGUUCUGCCGGCCGCUUUGACUUCAUUUUCUGCUUUUCAUCCCAGGCCGGGACGGUUUAGAAUGCAAAUGCGGGCUGCUUUUGUAGCUGUGCGUUUGUCUGGGAGCCGUGCGUUUGUCUGGGGUGAGAUCACAGCAAAAGGGUUUUGUUUGGCUUUUUAAAUUCUUCUGGGGAGAGCAAAAGAAGCUGGAGGAGCGCUGGGCGCAGAAGACCUCCCGGGCGGGAAGGCGGGGCAGGCAUGGGCCCAAUGGGAGCAGCCGUCGGCUUCUGCAGGCCUGGUUUGGAAAGGAACCGGGUCAGAAGGGUGUUGUUGAACAUUAACUCCUUGUGGCCUGGCGGAUGGGGAGUUGGGGGUUUCCAAGCUGCUCACCCCAGAACAUGCAGUCCACUAAUACUGUAUUUCGUGCUUCCUUUGUGCCACACCCUGGGGACAUUUCCAAAGAGAAAGGUGACGUCCAGCCCUUUCACGUGACUGCAUCUAAGUGUCCUCUGCCAGAAGUGGAUAUUCGGGCACUUCAUCCUCACGACCCUGUGUUAUGAGGACUCUGAGGAUCAGAGAGGCUAAGUGAAUCACCUGAGGAAGAGCCAGUCUUUGAAAUUGAGGGGUCCUGCAGAGAUAAAUGUGACAGAAAGCUGUUUCUUCUAUGAAAUGAAAAUGACAUCCCCUGCCCAAGAGCAGUGGUAUAAUAAUUCCAUAAGAUAAUGUAUUUAAAAUCAUUCAAGGUUUGCUGAUAAGCCAUUAGCUACAACACCAAAGGUACAAGGCAUGAGAGAAAAAGCUGGUAACUUGGAUUUCAUUAACAUUAAAAAAUUCUGCUUUGUGAAAGACACUAUUGAGACAGUCAAAAGGCAAGCCAUAGAAUGGGAGAAAAUAUUUGCAAAACACAUGUCUGAGAAAGGACUUAUAUCCAAUAUAUACAAAAGACAUAUCAACCCAACAAUAAGAAAACAAACAAUCCAAUUAAAAAGUGAGCAAAAGGUGCAAUCAGACACCUCACCAAAUAAGAUGUACAGAAGGGAAACAAUCAUGUGAAAAGUUGAUCAACAUAAUUUGUCGUUAGGGAAUUGCAAGUUAAAACAACCACAAGAUAUCACUACACACCUAUUAGAAUGGCCAAAAUCCAAAACACUGACAAUACUCAAUGCUGAUGAGGAUGUGGAGCAAUAGGAACUUUCAUUCAUUGCUUGUGGGAAUGCAAAAUGGUAUAGCCACUUGAGAAAACAGUGUGGCAGUUUCUUACAAAGCUAAAUCUAAUCCUUCUCUAUGAUCUAGCAAUAUACUCCUAGGUAUUUAUCCAACUGAUUUGAAAACGAAUGUUCAAACAAAAACUUGCACACUAUUGUUUAUAGCAGCUUUAUUUUAAUAAUUGCCAAAAACUGAAACAAAACAAAACAACGAAACAAAAUGUCCUUCAAUAAGUGAAUUGGUGGACAAAUGGUGGUACAUAUACACAAUGGAAUACUAUUUCAUGAUUCAAAACAUAAGGUGCUAUCAAGCUGUGAGAGGAUAUGAAUGAAUCUUAAAUGUGUAUUGCUAAAUGAAGAAAGAGUCUGAAAAGGCUGCAUAGUGUACAAUUCCAAGUGUAUGCCAUUCUAGAAACAGCAAAACUGUAAUGGGAGUAAAAAG
Homo sapiens (human) is the source of this 8294-nucleotide long non-coding RNA. RefSeq lists it as uncharacterized. The transcript is spliced from 3 exons. The record is from RefSeq and is a predicted model, not a curated record. NCBI's taxonomy places the organism in Eukaryota, Metazoa, Chordata, Mammalia, Primates, Hominidae.